Molecule: ribosomal RNA, 200 nt
Filed under: uncultured bacterium
Lineage: Bacteria
Description: partial 16S ribosomal RNA
Rfam family: Bacterial small subunit ribosomal RNA
Source: RNAcentral
AUUGAACGCUGGCGGCAUGCCUUACACAUGCAAGUCGAACGGUAACAGGUUAAGCUGACGAGUGGCGAACGGGUGAGUAAUAUAUCGGAACGUGCCCAGUCGUGGGGGGAUAACUGCUCGAAAGAGCAGCUAAUACCGCAUACGACCUGAGGGUGAAAGCGGGGGAUCGCAAGACCUCGCGCGAUUGGAGCGGCCGAUAU